This 253-nucleotide ribosomal RNA is filed under the name uncultured bacterium. RNAcentral describes it as "partial 16S ribosomal RNA". It matches the Rfam family "Bacterial small subunit ribosomal RNA", at positions 524 to 776 of the family's 1533-position model. The record is from RNAcentral.
UACGGAGGGUGCGAGCGUUGUUCGGAAUCAUUGGGCGUAAAGCGGGUGUAGGUGGUGAGAUCAGUCGGAUGUGAAAUCCCAGGGCCCAACCCUGGAACUGCAUUCGAAACUGUCUCGCUAGAGUCCCGGAGGGGAAGGCGGAAUUCCCGGUGUAGAGGUGAAAUUCGUAGAUAUCGGGAGGAACACCAGUGGCGAAGGCGGCCUUCUGGACGGUGACUGACACUCAGGGACGAAAGCGUGGGGAUCAAACAGG